AUUGAACGCUGGCGGCAUGCCUUACACAUGCAAGUCGAACGGCAACAGGUCUUCGGAUGCUGACGAGUGGCGAACGGGUGAGUAAUACAUCGGAACGUGCCUAGUAGUGGGGGAUAACUACUCGAAAGAGUGGCUAAUACCGCAUGAGAUCUACGGAUGAAAGCAGGGGAUCGCAAGACCUUGUGCUACUAGAGCGGCCGAUGGCAGAUUAGGUAGUUGGUGGGAUAAAAGCUUACCAAGCCGACGAUCUGUAGCUGGUCUGAGAGGACGAUCAGCCACACUGGGACUGAGACACGGCCCAGACUCCUACGGGAGGCAGCAGUGGGGAAUUUUGGACAAUGGGCGAAAGCCUGAUCCAGCAAUGCCGCGUGCAGGAUGAAGGCCUUCGGGUUGUAAACUGCUUUUGUACGGAACGAAAAGCCCCGGGUUAAUACCCUGGGGUCAUGACGGUACCGUAAGAAGAAGCACCGGCUAACUACGUGCCAGCCGCCGCAGUAA
Molecule: ribosomal RNA, 498 nt
Filed under: uncultured bacterium
Lineage: Bacteria
Description: partial 16S ribosomal RNA
Rfam family: Bacterial small subunit ribosomal RNA
Source: RNAcentral